UAGUCCAUGCCGUAAACGUUGGGCACUAGGUGUGGGGUCUAUUCAACGGAUUCCGUGCCACAGCUAACGCAUUAAGUGCCCCGCCUGGGGAGUACAGCCGCAAGGUUAAAACUCAAAUGAAUUGACGGGGGCCCGCACAAGCGGUGGAGCAUGUGGUUUAAUUCGAUGCAACGCGAAGAACCUUACCAGGUCUUGACAUCCAGAGAACUUUCCAGAGAUGGAUUGGUGCCUUCGGGAGCUCUGUGACAGGUGCUGCAUGGCUGUCGUCAGCUCGUGUCGUGAGAUGUUGGGUUAAGUCCCGUAACGAGCGCAACCCUUGUCCUUAGUUGCCAGCGCGUAAUGGCGGGAACUCUAAGGAGACUGCCGGUGACAAACCGGAGGAAGGUGGGGCGACGUCAAGUCAUCAUGGCCCUUACGACCUGGGCUACACACGUGCUACAAUGGAACGCACAGAGGGCAGCAAACCCGCGAGGGGGAGCGAAUCCCACAAAACGUUUCGUAGUCCGGAUUGGAGUCUACG
This 520-nucleotide ribosomal RNA is filed under the name uncultured bacterium. RNAcentral's name for it is "bacterial SSU rRNA". It matches the Rfam family "Bacterial small subunit ribosomal RNA", at positions 791 to 1309 of the family's 1533-position model. The record is from RNAcentral.